UAAAAAGAUGUGCUCAUGAUAGGUGUGGC
This 29-nucleotide non-coding RNA is filed under the name Rattus norvegicus (Norway rat). The record is from RNAcentral. Lineage: Eukaryota; Metazoa; Chordata; Mammalia; Rodentia; Muridae.